UUAAACCUACAUAUUCACGACUUGGAUAAAGUAUAUAAAUAUCGUGAUAUGAAAAUGAAACAACUUAUAGUGCUUAUAGAUACAUAAGUUUUAAGAUAAAACCUUGCUAAAAUGGAGAGUGUAGCACUUUAUUGUCUGUUGUUUUGUUUUGGUAAGUUUUUUUUAAUAUAAAUUCAUAUUUAUUGGUAGACCUCGUGAUUUAAUUCUAUAAAUACAAGUAAAAACAUAUUCUGUUUUUAAUAGACAUUGAUAUAAUAUGAGUAAAAUAAAUAUAUUUUAUAAUGCCAUCAAUUUAAAAAGUUAAAAAAUUGAAAUAUGAAAUAUGAAAGGGAGUAAAACAUUUAUAUGUAUUGUCAGUUCGUUCUAAUCAAUGGUUUAACUAGGUUUCACCAAUGCAAUUAAUUAAAACGAUUAAUAUUCACCUUUAUCUUUGAGUCGUUUAAUAUACCCGAAAUAUCAAAUCCAGUUGAAAACAUGACGAUUAUUUGUAUUGUUUAAAAAUGUUUUUUUUUUCUAUAGUUGCUCUUGGUAACAUAACAGUCAGCGAUGGCUCAGAUCAUCAGAUGGCACAAUCUGCCUGCAUGGGCGUGGCCCAGGAUGCUGUAUACGCAUCAGCAAUACCACGUCCUUGUUUUGGUGGAAAGACUUGUGAAAGUAUUUGUGCAGAUGCCACAUCAACUAUGAAUCAAUAUUCCACUGCUGGAGGCCCCUUAAG
RNAcentral lists this long non-coding RNA (715 nucleotides) under Mytilus galloprovincialis (Mediterranean mussel). The record is from RNAcentral. Lineage: Eukaryota; Metazoa; Mollusca; Bivalvia; Mytilida; Mytilidae.